CGGGAGGUACCAACUCUAGAGAAUAGAACGUGGAAAUUAUCUUAGUGUAAAUAACGAUAUUGUGGCACCUGGCACAGUCACGUCUAUCUUCCCACCGCUCAUUGCUGACACUCGCGUGUCUGCUCUCCAAUGCUUGUGUGCGCAUUCCCGCUCGUUUGCAAUAACCAUCAAAAUCUGAAAGACACACAGAACACCGGGAAAUCG
This 204-nucleotide long non-coding RNA is filed under the name Nicotiana benthamiana. Its description in RNAcentral is "long non-coding RNA (NBEN_LNC033317)". Lineage: Eukaryota; Viridiplantae; Streptophyta; Magnoliopsida; Solanales; Solanaceae. The record is from RNAcentral.